RNAcentral lists this transfer RNA (87 nucleotides) under Candidatus Helarchaeota archaeon. Its description in RNAcentral is "tRNA-Ser". It matches the Rfam family "tRNA". Rfam says of the family: Transfer RNA (tRNA) molecules are approximately 80 nucleotides in length. Their secondary structure includes four short double-helical elements and three loops (D, anti-codon, and T loops). Lineage: Archaea; Promethearchaeati; Candidatus Helarchaeota. The record is from RNAcentral.
GCCGGGGUAGCCAAGUGGUUUACGGCGCGGGCCUUGAGAGUCCGUGCUCUUCGGAGCGCGAGGGUUCAAAUCCCUCUCCCGGCGCCA